UUUUGCUCGAUCUAUGGUUUUGGCUUUGUUUUUUGUUACAUUCUUUAUGUUUCGAAACAUUUUUGGUGCUUUUCCAUUGAUCUCUCUACCACAGCCUGUUGUUGAGCCUGAAACUGCAAACCGAUAUUCCACAUCAGUCGAUCUUGGUCUCUUGCCUUUGCUUUCCCGUGAUUUAGCAAAUGAAGGCCUCCUUAAAACAGGCGAUAAAGCUGUACUUUUAAGCAAUGACAAUGGCAAUGAUAUUGAUCAUGACGAUGCCAUUGAUAUUUCUCAUAUCCUAAAUGGCAAUUACGAUAUUGAUCUAAUCUCGGUCUCUGAUUUUGAUCGACAAAGCACAAUUCUUGAAGAAUCUCUGGACUUUGUCAUCACCUAUAGCUUCCCUGGUGCCCAAGAAUUCAUCGAUCGCACCCUCAAAGUGGGAGGCAUUGCUGUUGUACAACUAAAUGAUAAUCCUUCGUUUCUAUUAAAUAAGCCAUCCAAUUACAAAAUAGUUUAUCUCAGGAAAUUUCAACCAACGGUGAUGGCCAUGAGGAAAA
This 536-nucleotide unclassified non-coding RNA is filed under the name Hevea brasiliensis (rubber tree). The record is from RNAcentral. Lineage: Eukaryota; Viridiplantae; Streptophyta; Magnoliopsida; Malpighiales; Euphorbiaceae.